CGGCGGUCGCUGCAAAACCUA
This 21-nucleotide non-coding RNA is filed under the name Arabidopsis thaliana (thale cress). Lineage: Eukaryota; Viridiplantae; Streptophyta; Magnoliopsida; Brassicales; Brassicaceae. The record is from RNAcentral.